This 334-nucleotide unclassified non-coding RNA is filed under the name soil metagenome. Its description in RNAcentral is "partial contains 5.8S ribosomal RNA, internal transcribed spacer 2, and large subunit ribosomal RNA". The stretch from base 1 to 120 matches the Rfam family "5.8S ribosomal RNA", at positions 35 to 154 of the family's 154-position model. The record is from RNAcentral.
GAUGAAGAACGCAGCGAAAUGCGAUAAGUAAUGUGAAUUGCAGAAUUCAGUGAAUCAUCGAAUCUUUGAACGCACAUUGCGCCCGCCAGUAUUCUGGCGAGCAUACCUGUUCGAGCGUCAUUUCAACCAUCAAGCCCCAGGCUUGUGUUGGAGCCCUGCGGCUGCCGCAGCCUCCCAAAACCAGUGGCGGGCUCGCUAUCACACCGAGUGCAGUAGUUUACUCUUCGCUCAGGGCGUGUGGCGGGUGCUAGCCGUGAAACCCCCAACUUCUCAAGGUUGACCUCGGAUCAGGUAGGAAUACCCGCUGAACUUAAGCAUAUCAAUAAGCGGAGGA